CUUUCUUUGCUGGCGGCCGGCGCACGGGUGAGUAACACGUAUCCAACCUGCCCUUUACUCGGGGAUAGCCUUUCGAAAGAAAGAUUAAUACCCGAUAGCAUAAUGAUUCCGCAUGGUUUCAUUAUUAAAGGAUUCCGGUAAAGGAUGGGGAUGCGUUCCAUUAGGUUGUUGGUGAGGUAACGGCUCACCAAGCCUUCGAUGGAUAGGGGUUCUGAGAGGAAGGUCCCCCACAUUGGAACUGAGACACGGUCCAA
This 254-nucleotide ribosomal RNA is filed under the name uncultured bacterium. RNAcentral describes it as "partial 16S ribosomal RNA". It matches the Rfam family "Bacterial small subunit ribosomal RNA", at positions 79 to 334 of the family's 1533-position model. The record is from RNAcentral.